CCCAAAUCUCAAACCAAAUUUGUCUUCUCCUUGCCGUCACACAAGGAUCUGCAGAGAACACUCCAACAGAAGUCAGAUGGUGUCCUUGAACUCGAGACAACUCAGAUUAACUUGUAUCAGCUCACAAAAAUACAGCGAGAUCAGUUUCUGAAGUGUCACUCUGCUGCACGCUGCUGGGUUCGCUGACACUGGAGUCACGAACUGGACGAAGGCUUGAAAUGGAUGGAAAACUGUCGGAAAAGGGCUCAGAAUCCCGGAGGACCACCGCCGAUAAUCCUGUGAUGGAAUGGAAACUCAGACCAGAAGAACGCUGCUGAUCUGAGCUGAAAAUCGCAGCCCACAGCUAUAGUACCAUGCUCGCCAAAUCCACUCGCUGAUGAGAACUGAUGGUCGGAAUCUGAUCGUCGGAGGUUGAGGAACUCCACGCUGGUGAAGACAAGCUAGUUCGAAGCUCUGGAAGAAGGGAGGAGUCGCGACCGCGCCAUCACAAAAACUGGCACGAUGAACAGUAGCGCGAGCUCACUGUUCACCGUGCCAAAAAUUCCCCUUUUAUAUCUAGGGUUUAGUCCAGCUGGGGUUUGACUAGAAUCCAAGCUCAAUUGGGGUCAGUUAGGGUUUUGGGCUUCAUUUGGUUGAGUGAACCAUGCCUCCACUUGAAUCAUGAACCCAUUAGUGCCCUACAAGACCAAAUUCACAUAAUGAGAAAUAAAUCAUGCAUAAGAUGG
Molecule: long non-coding RNA, 725 nt
Organism: Zingiber officinale
Lineage: Eukaryota; Viridiplantae; Streptophyta; Magnoliopsida; Zingiberales; Zingiberaceae
Exons: 2
Source: RefSeq, a predicted model, not a curated record